UGCCAUGCCACUUGUUGCAGUCGCCCACAAGU
Molecule: non-coding RNA, 32 nt
Filed under: Homo sapiens (human)
Lineage: Eukaryota; Metazoa; Chordata; Mammalia; Primates; Hominidae
Source: RNAcentral